CCUACGGGUGACAGCAGUGAGGAAUAUUGGUCAAUGGGCUUACGCCUGAACCAGCCAAGUCGCGUGAGGGAAGACUGCCCUAUGGGUUGUAAACCUCUUUUGUCAGGGAGCAACGCCGGCUACGUGUAGCCGGACUGAGAGUACCUGAAGAAAAAGCAUCGGCUAACUCCGUGCCAGCAGCCGCGGUAAUACGGAGGAUGCGAGCGUUAUCCGGAUUUAUUGGGUUUAAAGGGUGCGUAGGCGGAAUGCCAAGUCAGCGGUAAAAUCGCGGGGCUCAACCUCGCUCCGCCGUUGAAACUGGCGUGCUUGAGUGGGCGAGAAGUAUGCGGAAUGCGUGGGGUAGCGGUGAAAUGCAUAGAUAUCACGCAGAACUCCGAUUGCGAAGGCAGCAUACCGGCGCCCAACUGACGCUGAAGCACGAAAGCGUGGGUAUCGAACAGGAUUAGAUACCCCAGUAGUC
Molecule: ribosomal RNA, 460 nt
Filed under: uncultured bacterium
Lineage: Bacteria
Description: partial 16S ribosomal RNA
Rfam family: Bacterial small subunit ribosomal RNA
Source: RNAcentral